This is a non-coding RNA of Prevotella bivia DSM 20514, 399 nucleotides long. It matches the Rfam family "transfer-messenger RNA". From Rfam's summary of the family: Bacterial tmRNA, also known as 10Sa RNA or SsrA, is named for its dual tRNA and mRNA-like properties. Its role is to liberate the mRNA from a stalled ribosome. To accomplish this part of the tmRNA is used as a reading frame that ends in a translation stop signal. The record is from Rfam. Lineage: Bacteria; Pseudomonadati; Bacteroidota; Bacteroidia; Bacteroidales; Prevotellaceae.
GGGCUUGUUUGGAUUUGACGGCAAGACGAGAUGGUAUGUAAGCAUGCAGAGCGUUGGUGGUUAGCUCUUUAAUCUCAGUCAUCGAACAAUUAAUUGGCGAAAACAAUUACGCUCUCGCUGCCUAACCGAAGUACAGUAGGUUACUGGCUUUAUUCAGCUAUUAGAUAGCUGAACGAGACACCACUCUGGAGAUGUUGUUCCGAGUUGAAGGGCAAAGUGGUGCAGGCUUUUCGGGAAGAGUCUUUGUAUGCCUCGCUGCAAAGAUGAAAUUUAGAGGAUAAGGUGUUGGUUGGUGGUCUAGGUCUUGCCAACACUCGAAAACCGAAGGCUAGAAUAAGCAUGUAGAAAGCGUAUGGUUUCCUUGUUCGGACGUGGGUUCGACUCCCACCAGGUCCACUA